Molecule: ribosomal RNA, 800 nt
Filed under: uncultured bacterium
Lineage: Bacteria
Description: bacterial SSU rRNA
Rfam family: Bacterial small subunit ribosomal RNA
Source: RNAcentral
UAAUUGUCAGCUAAGUGGCGCACGGGUGAGUAAUGUAUAGAUAACCUGCCCUUAAGAAAGGAAUAACAGUUGGAAACGACUGCUAAUGCCCUAUAUGCCUUUAAUACAUAAGUAUGCAAGGGAAACGCUUUAGUGCUUAAGGAUGGGUCUGUAUGGUAUCAGCUUGUUGGUGAGGUAAUGGCUCACCAAGGCUAUGACGCCUAACUGGUUUGAGAGGAUGAUCAGUCACACUGGAACUGAGACACGGUCCAGACUCCUACGGGAGGCAGCAGUGGGGAAUAUUGCACAAUGGACGAAAGUCUGAUGCAGCAACGCCGCGUGGAGGAUGACACAUUUCGGUGCGUAAACUCCUUUUAUAUAGGAAGAUAAUGACGGUACUAUAUGAAUAAGCACCGGCUAACUCCGUGCCAGCAGCCGCGGUAAUACGGAGGGUGCAAGCGUUACUCGGAAUCACUGGGCGUAAAGAGCGUGUAGGCGGGUAUAUAAGUCAGAAGUGAAAUCCAAUAGCUCAACUAUUGAACUGCUUUUGAAACUGUAUACCUAGAAUGUGGGAGAGGUAGAUGGAAUUUCUGGUGUAGGGGUAAAAUCCGUAGAGAUCAGAAGGAAUACCGAUUGCGAAGGCGAUCUACUGGAACAUUAUUGACGCUGAGACGCGAAAGCGUGGGGAGCAAACAGGAUUAGAUACCCUGGUAGUCCACGCCCUAAACGAUGUACACUAGUUGUUGUGAGGCUCGACCUUGCAGUAAUGCAGUUAACACAUUAAGUGUACCGCCUGGGGAGUACGGUCGCAAGAUUAAAAC